UCGGUAAGACGUCGUGGAGGUCCGAACCCACUUCAGUUAAAAAUGGAGGGGAUGAGUUGUGGAUAGGGGUGAAAGGCCAAUCAAACACCGUGAUAGCUGGUUCUCCCCGAAAUGCAUUUAGGUGCAGCGUUGCGUGGUUCUUGUUGGAGGUAGAGCACUGGAUGGUCUAGGGGGCUUAUCGGCUUACCGAAAUCAGCCAAACUCCGAAUGCUGGCAAGCGUAGCGUGGCAGUGAGACGGCGGGGGAUAAGCUUCGUCGUCGAGAGGGAAACAGCCCAGAUCAUCAGCUAAGGCCCCUAAGUGGUGACUCAGUGGGAAAGGAUGUGGAGUUGCGUAGACAACCAGGAGGUUGGCUUGGAAGCAGCCAUCCUUGAAAGAGUGCGUAAUAGCUCACUGGUCAAGUGAUUCCGCGCCGAUAAUGUAGCGGGGCUUAAGUUAUCCGCCGAAGCUGUGGCAACCUGUGUGGUUGGGUAGGGGAGCGUCGUGUCAGUGGUGAAGCUGCCGGGUGACUGUGUGGUGGAGUUGAUGCGAGUGAGAAUGCAGGCAUGAGUAGCGUGUGACGGGUGGGAAUCCCGUCCGCCGAUUAUCCAAGGGUUCCAGGGUCAAGUUUGUCUGCCCUGGGUGAGUCGGGUCCUAAGGCGAGGCCGACAGGCGUAGUCGAUGGGUAACCAGUUGAUAUUCUGGUACCGGCUUGUCACCGUCCGUGUCGAGGUGUGUGAUGCUAAGCAUGUGAGCUUGUCUUGGGAGUGUUUUUGAUGCUUCUGGGGUGGGUGAGUGUGUGAACCGAUCAUGUAGUAGGCAAGCUGCGGAGGGACGCAGUGAGGUAGCUCAUCCCCGGUGAUGGUUGUCCGGGGCUAAGUGUGUGGACUGUCUGGUAGGUAAAUCCGCUGGGCGUGAAGGUUGAGGCAUGAUGGGGAGCCCACGGUUGUGGGUGAGUGAGUGAUCCUGUACUGUCGAGAAAAGCUUCGUGAGCGAGGUGGCGGGUCCGCCCGUACCCUAAACCGACACUGGUGGAUAGGUAGAGUAUACCGAGGCGAUCGAGUGAAUCGUGGUGAAGGAACUCGGCAAAAUGCCCCCGUAACUUUGGGAUAAGGGGGACCUGAGCUGUCGUGCACCCGUGCGGUGUGGUGGCGGUGAGGGGCGCAGAGUCCAGGGGGAAACGACUGUUUACCAAAAACACAGGUCCGUGCGAAGUCGUAAGACGAUGUAUACGGACUGACUCCUGCCCGGUGCUGGAAGGUUAAGGGGAACUGUGAGUGUGAUGCGUAGCGGUGAACUUAAGCCCCAGUAAACGGCGGUGGUAACUAUAACCAUCCUAAGGUAGCGAAAUUCCUUGUCGGGUAAGUUCCGACCUGCACGAAUGGAGUAACGAUUUCCCUACUGUCUCCACCAUGAACUCGG
RNAcentral lists this ribosomal RNA (1400 nucleotides) under Millepora sp. RR-2016. Its description in RNAcentral is "bacterial LSU rRNA". It matches the Rfam family "Bacterial large subunit ribosomal RNA", at positions 753 to 2036 of the family's 2925-position model. Lineage: Eukaryota; Metazoa; Cnidaria; Hydrozoa; Anthoathecata; Milleporidae. The record is from RNAcentral.